Molecule: ribosomal RNA, 253 nt
Filed under: uncultured bacterium
Lineage: Bacteria
Description: partial 16S ribosomal RNA
Rfam family: Bacterial small subunit ribosomal RNA
Source: RNAcentral
UACGGAGGGCGCAAUCGUUGUUCGGAAUUACUGGGCGUAAAGCGCGUGUAGGUGGCUUGGAAAGUCGGGUGUGAAAUCCCGGAGCUCAACUCCGGAACUGCAUCCGAUACUGCCAAGCUCGAGUCUCGGAGAGGAUGGCGGAAUUUCCGGUGUAGAGGUGAAAUUCGUAGAUAUCGGAAGGAACACCAGUGGCGAAGGCGGCCGUCUGGACGAUGACUGACACUGAGGCGCGAAAGCGUGGGGAGCAAACAGG